AGACUGCCGGUGACAAACCGGAGGAAGGUGGGGACGACGUCAGAUCAUCAUGCCCCUUAUGACCUGGGCUACACACGUGCUACAAUGGACGGUACAACGAGUUGCGAACUCGCGAGGGCAAGCUAAUCUCUUAAAGCCGUUCUCAGUUCGGACUGCAGGCUGCAACUCGCCUGCACGAAGUCGGAAUCGCUAGUAAUCGCGGAUCAGCAUGCCGCGGUGAAUACGUUCCCGGGCCUU
Molecule: ribosomal RNA, 237 nt
Filed under: Limosilactobacillus rudii
Lineage: Bacteria; Bacillati; Bacillota; Bacilli; Lactobacillales; Lactobacillaceae
Description: Limosilactobacillus sp. STM3_1 partial 16S ribosomal RNA
Rfam family: Bacterial small subunit ribosomal RNA
Source: RNAcentral